GACGAACGCUGGCGGCGUGCUUAACACAUGCAAGUCGUACGGUAAGGCCCUUUCGGGGGUACACGAGUGGCGAACGGGUGAGUAACACGUGAGUAACCUGCCCACAACUUUGGGAUAACGCUAGGAAACUGGUGCUAAUACUGGAUAUGUGCUCCUGCUGCAUGGUGGGGGUUGGAAAGCUCCGGCGGUUGUGGAUGGACUCGCGGCCUAUCAGCUUGUUGGUGGGGUAGUGGCCUACCAAGGCGGCGACGGGUAGCCGGCCUGAGAGGGUGACCGGCCACAUUGGGACUGAGAUACGGCCCAGACGCCUACGGGAGGCAGCAGUGGGGAAUAUUGCACAAUGGGCGCAAGCCUGAUGCAGCAACGCCGCGUGCGGGAUGACGGCCUUCGGGUUGUAAACCGCUUUCAGCAGGGACGAAGCUUUUUGUGACGGUACCUGCAGAAGAAGCACCGGCUAGCUACGUG
This 465-nucleotide ribosomal RNA is filed under the name uncultured bacterium. RNAcentral's name for it is "partial 16S ribosomal RNA". It matches the Rfam family "Bacterial small subunit ribosomal RNA", at positions 28 to 507 of the family's 1533-position model. The record is from RNAcentral.